This 499-nucleotide unclassified non-coding RNA is filed under the name Anelosimus guacamayos. RNAcentral's name for it is "partial contains 16S ribosomal RNA and tRNA-Leu (trnL)". The stretch from base 104 to 403 matches the Rfam family "Bacterial large subunit ribosomal RNA", at positions 2074 to 2646 of the family's 2925-position model. Lineage: Eukaryota; Metazoa; Arthropoda; Arachnida; Araneae; Theridiidae. The record is from RNAcentral.
UUCGUUUUUUAAUAAAAACUAGGAUGAAAGGUUAUACAUUCAAAUUUCUUUAUUAAUUUCUAAUUAAUAAUUUAUAUUAAAUAUAAAAAUAUACUUAUAAAAAAAAAAGACGACAAGACCCUAUUAAAUUUUACUUAUAGUUUAACUGGGGAAGUUUUUUAAUUAAAAUUUUUUAAAUUUAAUAAAUAAAAAUCUAAUAAAAUUAAAACUUUAACAAAUUACUAUAGGGAUAACAGCAUUAUAUUUUUUAAAAGUUCAUAUUAAAAAAAAUGAUUGUGACCUCGAUGUUGAAUUAUAUUUUCUAUAUUUAAUGCAAUAAUUAUAAAAGUAGAUCUGUUCGAUCUUUAAAAUAUUACAUGAUUUGAGUUCAAACCGGUGUAAACCAGGUUGGUUUCUAUCUUUUUAUAUAUUUUUCCAGUACGAAAGGACAAACAAAUUUUUAUUUUAAUAAAUUAGCAAAUAAAUGCAUUAGAUUUAGAAUCUAAAUAUAUUUAAUAAU